UUAGAACAGAGAAGUUUCUCUGGUUGGAAGCAGAAGAGACUUGCAGCACAAGAGGCAGGAAAGAGAGGUGGCAGAAGGAGAAAUCUGAAGAAAUUCCACACGUGAGAAGGACUCAACUUGCUUUCGCUAAUUUUGAAAUGCAGGGGCCACAUGCAAGGCCUCCAGAGAAGCUUCUGGAAGCUAAGGGCAGCCCUUGGCUGACAGCCAGCAAAGGAGCCAGGCCCUCAGUCCUCGUCUGCAAGAAGCUGAAUUCUGCCUCCAGCCUGAACCAGCUCGGAAGGGGUUUAUUCCCAGAGGCUUCUGAUAACAGCCCAGCUGGCGAACACCUCGAUUUCAACCUUGUGAAACAGGGAGCAGAGAAACUAGUGAGGUCCGGGGCACACAGAGCAGCUGCUUGUCUCUGGAGUCCAGCUGUGAAGGAUUCAUGGGCGCCUUCUCCAGGGUUGCCAGCCCCAGGAUUGUUCUCCGUGAAGAUUUCUCCCAGAAUCUCAACGUGGCAAAGCUCACCAUGGGACCAUCCUUUUAGUUAGAGUUUCCAACAAAUGGGGAAGCAUUUGGCAUGCUCUUUCCAUCUUUGCUACUAUUCAUUUAGUCUUUGUCUCUGAAAUGCGUUGCCAAGAGGAAAGCUUCGUGUGUUCGUUUGUAGUGUGACAUCUUGCUUUGGAAACUUUGAGUGUGUGCAUAGGGAGGCAAAGAAAAAACGAGGCUUCACUUUUCCCCACUUUGCAUUAAUUAAAAAAAAGACUGAAAGUGAAGUUUGAGUUUUUCUUUAUUCAGAAAUUGGAAAGAAGAUUCGUAUGCAUUUUUGUUGUUGUUGUUGCAUUUUUGUUGUUGUGUUGUUGUUGGAGUAGAUGGGAGGUAGUAAGAGGUGUCAGAGACUUUCUCUUUGUUUUUAAUGUUGGUACCCGAGAGAUUAUACUCAAUGAUAGAUGAUAAAAGAAAGGGCCAGGUUUCAGGUGGAGUAAUCUUAUGAGGAUGAAGGGCCUGGAUGUCUUGUGUGGGAUAAAUGGAGGCUCUAAUCGUGAUCCGACUCACCGCUGGGGUUGGACAUAUUACGUAUAUCAAAAAAAGAUAUUAAAAUGGAGAUAAAUUUAAACCUGGUGAGAAAAAGGCAAUAAUAAGCCUUCCAAAUACCAUUUAAAAUUGCCCCACAGUGACCAUGGAGCCCUACAUAAAAGAAAUACUAUGAUCUCACUAAUUGUAAAACCUACAGUUUUAGAAAACUAAUGGAUCUUAGUGGAGAGAAAUUCAUAGCUUAAGAAUGUGACAACCACGAUAAGGUACUGAAAAGUCAGUUUCCCUAAGGCGGUUAGCGUGGACUCUGUAAUGAACUAAGUACUGGGAAACUUAAUUUGAAUUUUCCAAACUGUGUGCCCAGAGACAUAUGACUGAAACGUAUUUUCAGAAAGCUAUAAAGCAACCAUAGUUCUUGACAAGGACUAAUAGUCUGCUUUUACAAAGAACUUUUUUUUAAUCUAAGGGCUUCAGAGAACAAGCAGAGAGUCAGUUAUGCUACCAGCAUUGACACUUAGAGAGAAUGAAUGGGUCUUAGGGAACCACUGAAUCCGAAAGUUACAUUCAGUCAAGGCUCAUAUUGUUUUCUGUUUUAAUCUAGGAUUACUGUAUUUGCUUUUUUUACAGUUAGAAAAACAACUUCAAUUAUAUCUGUCAAGAAUAUGCUAAUAAUUGAAGAGUGUUUAAUAUUUUAUUUCUAAUAAUGAAAAUAUUACCAAAUUGUAUUUAUUUUUAAAGAUACUUGAAAUAAUAAAAUUCCAA
RNAcentral lists this long non-coding RNA (1776 nucleotides) under Equus caballus (horse). RNAcentral's name for it is "lncRNA (ENSECAG00000036665.2)". Lineage: Eukaryota; Metazoa; Chordata; Mammalia; Perissodactyla; Equidae. The record is from RNAcentral.